Molecule: unclassified non-coding RNA, 211 nt
Filed under: soil metagenome
Description: partial contains small subunit ribosomal RNA, internal transcribed spacer 1, and 5.8S ribosomal RNA
Source: RNAcentral
UUUCCGUAGGUGAACCUGCGGAAGGAUCAUUGUCACCAAUACUCGAUCCCUACCCACCCGCGUGAACUCGUUAACAACGUCUUUUUUUACCAACAACAAACACGAUAACCGUACGCCCUGAUACCGUUGUUUGAACGCGCCUCGCGUGUGGCGGCUUUACAAAUCACACGACAUCACAAAACAACUCUCAGCAACGGAUAUCUUGGCUCUC